Long non-coding RNA from Herpailurus yagouaroundi (jaguarundi), 597 nucleotides. RefSeq lists it as uncharacterized. Lineage: Eukaryota; Metazoa; Chordata; Mammalia; Carnivora; Felidae. The record is from RefSeq and is a predicted model, not a curated record. The transcript has 3 exons.
ACAUUAAAAAAAUCAUUUAAAAAAAAUGAAUCCUUCCUGUGCUGCCUAGAAGGACUAAGAGAGGGAAAAAUAGCACACCCUGUAUCUCCCCAGUUGAGUAGUCAGAUAUUUAAUAAAGACAAGACCUCUGGACUUGGCAGCACAGGGCAGAAGAAAGAGGAGUCCUCAGCAUUUUCUGUUCCCGAGGCUGAAUGCUGUCACAAGCUGAUGAUUUGCGGUGGGACAGAAGUGGCCAAAGAGGCAGAAGCGGCUUGGCUGAACUUCUCAGCAAAAGUCUUUGGUUGGCCACCCGCUAAGGAAUGAACUUCACCAGUUCUGGACCCUGGGGCAGUCUGCACUGUUGGAAAGUCUUACUCUGAGACCGAUGGCACAUGAAGACUUUGGACAGCUGAUUGAACAAGUGCUCCGUGGCCCAUUUUCAUGCUUCCACGUGGAACCCAGGUGAGGCAGCCCAGGUGAAGAGUGUUAAUCCAAAACUGCACAGGUACAUGACCAGGGGCAGCCCGGCCGGGUGUGGUGAAUACUGUGUCUAUACAUCAGACAGAUGGUGUCAAGGGGUUGCUCUCUUCCUUAAAAACAAAACAAAACAAAACAAAA